UUCAUGAGCUUUUAAUGAAAGUUUAUAUUUAUUAUACAAGUAUUUGAUUCUAUAGGUCAGAAUGACUUAUAAUACUCUGUCUUUUGUUCCUGUAGAAACUCUACGUCUGCCGUCGCUGGCAGUUAUCGACCUGCUGCUCAACAAACACCGUGAGCAGAAGGACAUGCUGAAGCUUGUGGACCAGGACUACGCUGCUCUAGUUCACAACUCCUGCACAGACCCCAACAGCAUGCUCCACCCGACAACAAAACUACAUGUUCUACAAUAUGUAAAGCACCUCAGCAAAUUGUUGAACACCAGUUCCUCUUUAAACGUCAGUCCAGAAAAACUGCAAGAGAGGCAGAAACUCUGUCACUCUCUGACAGAGGCGAGUGAGACUACUAGUGUGCAGGUUGUUACGAUGUCUGUUGCAUUUGUUCACCCACCUCCACCUGUUCAGAUGCUGACACAAGCUUCUAUUGAGAAGAUUGUACCCAACAUCAUGGAAAAGCAGCAGCAACAUAAACAGGAACAACAACAACAACCGGGGCAAAAGAAGGGCUGCACGAAAGACAAAGUUCUUUCAGCUAGAACUGGAUGCCACACAGAAAAGUUCCAUCUAGCAUUUUAAGUCCAAUUAUUUGUAAUAUUCAUGUUGUAAUUAGUUUAUAUAUUGGUUUCUUGCAUUUGUGACUUUGUACAUUGAAAUAUUAUCAUUUUAUUCUUUAUAUUUGGUUUUAAUAUUCAUUAGUUUAAUUAUUUAGAUGUCUUUAUUUCUGUAACAUUUUUGUUUGUAUAGGACUAUACAAAUCGGUUGAUGUAUCUGUGUUCAACAUUUACUGUCCAAGUUAAUAAAUAUAUUUCAAUUACUAAUGUCUACAUGUGUCAUCAAUAAGUGAAUCACUGUAGUGAACAGUAAAAUAAGUUGGUCUGUAAGUACAAUCUAGUGAUAACCAGUAGACAGCAGAUUGGGGUAAACAUUUCCUUUAUUUGUUAUUUGAGAUGGAUAAGGUAGGAUGGAGUGGGAGGUGAAGGAAGGUGUUCUUCCACGUGUCCAGUCUCAGGCACAAUAUUUACUUAAAUGUACAUGAAAUAAAAAUAAGGCAGAAAUGAGGUAAGGGGAAAUGUGCAAAACUGAGCAGAUUGUAAAAAUGAAAAGAUGAAAUGAAAUGUGUGCAAUAUAAAUUAACAGUACAGUUAAUUAAAGCCGACCAAUUAAAAAAAAAAAAACAUUUAAAUAAAUGUACAUGAAAUAAAAAUAAGGCAGAAAUGAGGUAAGUGAAAAUGUGCAAAAC
Molecule: long non-coding RNA, 1274 nt
Organism: Gasterosteus aculeatus aculeatus (three-spined stickleback)
Lineage: Eukaryota; Metazoa; Chordata; Actinopteri; Perciformes; Gasterosteidae
Source: Ensembl